Molecule: ribosomal RNA, 253 nt
Filed under: uncultured bacterium
Lineage: Bacteria
Description: partial 16S ribosomal RNA
Rfam family: Bacterial small subunit ribosomal RNA
Source: RNAcentral
UACGGGGGGGGCAAGCGUUGUUCGGAAUUACUGGGCGUAAAGGGCUCGUAGGCGGCCAACUAAGUCAGACGUGAAAUCCCUCGGCUUAACCGGGGAACUGCGUCUGAUACUGGAUGGCUUGAGUUCGGGAGAGGGAUGCGGAAUUCCAGGUGUAGCGGUGAAAUGCGUAGAUAUCUGGAGGAACACCGGUGGCGAAGGCGGCGUCCUGGACCAACACUGACACUGAUGAGCGAAAGCCAGGGGAGCAAACGGG